RNAcentral lists this ribosomal RNA (487 nucleotides) under uncultured bacterium. RNAcentral describes it as "bacterial SSU rRNA". It matches the Rfam family "Bacterial small subunit ribosomal RNA", at positions 28 to 507 of the family's 1533-position model. The record is from RNAcentral.
GAUGAACGCUAGCGGAGGCUUAACACAUGCAAGGUCGAGGGGCAGCAUAGGGUAGCAAUACUCUGAUGGCGACCGGCAAACGGGUGAGUAACGCGUAUGCAACCUACCCUGUACAGGGGGAUAACCCGGAGAAAUUCGGACUAAUAUCCCGUAAUAAUAUCCGGAGGCAUCUUUGGAUAUUUAAAGUUCCGACGGUACGGGAUGGGCAUGCGUAACACUAGCUGGUUGGUAAGGUAACGGCUUACCAAGGCUAUGAUGUUUAGGGGUCCUGAGAGGGUGGUCCCCCACACUGGUACUGAGACACGGACCAGACUCCUACGGGAGGCAGCAGUGAGGAAUAUUGGUCAAUGGGCGCAAGCCUGAACCAGCCAUCCCGCGUGCAGGAAGACGGCCCUAUGGGUUGUAAACUGCUUUUCCAGGGAGAGAAACUUACGCACGUGUUGCGUGACUGACGGUACCCUGGGAAUAAGCAUCGGCUAACUCCGUG